CUGUUGUCGCGUACCAUGAUAAAGUAUCUAGUGUGUUGAAAAAUCAUUAUCGUCUAUUGGUGUAUUCAUACAAAUACCACUUCUGAUUUGUGGGCGUUAAAACGUGUUCAAAUGCUCCAAAGCGGUGAAAAUGAAAGUAGUACAAACUUUAGGAAGCAAUCUAUAUCAAAAACAUGAUAAAGUCUCUUGUGUGGUGAAGGAUGCUGUGUUGGUGUAUUAAUAUGAAAACCACUUCUAGGAAUCAACAAUGGCUAUGGAAUCCAUUGCUGAACACGAAGAAUCGAGUUUGGUAUUUAUUUAAUUGUAAUUAUAACAUAAAUAUGUAAUCGAAAUAAAAUAAAAUAAACAUUUUUUUCAAUGGUA
This is a long non-coding RNA of Stomoxys calcitrans (stable fly), 363 nucleotides long. RefSeq lists it as uncharacterized. Lineage: Eukaryota; Metazoa; Arthropoda; Insecta; Diptera; Muscidae. The transcript is spliced from 2 exons. The record is from RefSeq and is a predicted model, not a curated record.